This 253-nucleotide ribosomal RNA is filed under the name uncultured bacterium. RNAcentral describes it as "partial 16S ribosomal RNA". It matches the Rfam family "Bacterial small subunit ribosomal RNA", at positions 524 to 776 of the family's 1533-position model. The record is from RNAcentral.
UACGAAGGGGGCGAGCGUUGUUCGGAUUUACUGGGCGUAAAGGGCGCGCAGGCGGCUAUUUUUGUCAGGCGUGAAAGCCCCGGGCUUAACCUGGGAACUGCGCUUGAGACGGGAUGGCUAGAGAUCGGGAGAGGAGAGUGGAAUUCCCAGUGUAGAGGUGAAAUUCGUAGAUAUUGGGAAGAACACCGGUGGCGAAGGCAGGUCUCUGGGCCAAUACUGACGCUCAUGCACGAAAGCGUGGGGAGCAAACAGG